GAGUGUAGUGCCCUACUCCAGAGAGUGUCAUUCACAUACACUACAACAUGAUUGUCACUUUUUGGAGUAGAGUAAUGCACAU
Molecule: microRNA precursor, 82 nt
Filed under: Camelus bactrianus (Bactrian camel)
Lineage: Eukaryota; Metazoa; Chordata; Mammalia; Artiodactyla; Camelidae
Also listed under: 3 other names
Source: RNAcentral